This 459-nucleotide ribosomal RNA is filed under the name uncultured bacterium. Its description in RNAcentral is "bacterial SSU rRNA". It matches the Rfam family "Bacterial small subunit ribosomal RNA", at positions 29 to 524 of the family's 1533-position model. The record is from RNAcentral.
AACGAACGCUGGCGGCAUGCCUAACACAUGCAAGUCGAACGGGAUCCAGGCUUCGGCCUGGUGAGAGUGGCGGACGGGUGAGUAACACGUGGGAACCUGCCUUUUGGUUCGGGAUAACCGCGGGAAACUGCGGCUAAUACCGGAUGCUCCCGAGAGGGGAAAGAUUUAUCGCCAGAAGAGGGGCCCGCGUCCGAUUAGGUAGUUGGUGAGGUAAUGGCUCACCAAGCCGACGAUCGGUAGCUGGUCUGAGAGGAUGAUCAGCCACACUGGGACUGAGAUACGGCCCAGACUCCUACGGGAGGCAGCAGUGGGGAAUAUUGGACAAUGGGGGCAACCCUGAUCCAGCAAUGCCGCGUGGUGAUGAAGGCCUUAGGGUUGUAAAGCUCUUUUGCCAGGGAAGAUGAUGACUGUACCUGGAGAAUAAGCCCCGGCUAACUUCGUGCCAGCAGCCGCGGUAAU